Molecule: ribosomal RNA, 1357 nt
Filed under: Francisella orientalis
Lineage: Bacteria; Pseudomonadati; Pseudomonadota; Gammaproteobacteria; Thiotrichales; Francisellaceae
Description: Francisella noatunensis subsp. orientalis partial 16S ribosomal RNA
Rfam family: Bacterial small subunit ribosomal RNA
Source: RNAcentral
UGCUGACGAGUGGCGGACGGGUGAGUAACGCGUAGGAAUCUGCCCAUCUGUGGGGGAUACCAGUUGGAAACGACUGUUAAUACCGCAUAAUAUCUGCGGAUUAAAGGUGGCCUUUGCGCUGCCGCAGAUGGAUGAGCCUGCGUUGGAUUAGCUAGUUGGUGGGGUAAGGGCCUACCAAGGCUACGAUCCAUAGCUGAUUUGAGAGGAUGAUCAGCCACAUUGGGACUGAGACACGGCCCAAACUCCUACGGGAGGCAGCAGUGGGGAAUAUUGGACAAUGGGGGAAACCCUGAUCCAGCAAUGCCAUGUGUGUGAAGAAGGCUCUAGGGUUGUAAAGCACUUUAGUUGGGGAGGAAAGCCUGUGAGUUAAUAGCUUGCAGGAAGGACGUUGCCCAAAGAAUAAGGACCGGCUAACUCCGUGCCAGCAGCCGCGGUAAUACGGGGGGUCCGAGCGUUAAUCGGAAUUACUGGGCGUAAAGGGUCUGUAGGUGGUUUGUUAAGUCAGAUGUGAAAGCCCAGGGCUCAACCUUGGAACUGCAUUUGAUACUGACAAACUAGAGUAUGGUAGAGGAAUAGGGAACUUCUGGUGUAGCGGUGAAAUGCGUAGAGAUCAGAAGGAACACCAAUGGCGAAGGCAACAUUCUGGACCAAUACUGACACUGAGGGACGAAAGCGUGGGGAUCAAACAGGAUUAGAUACCCUGGUAGUCCACGCUGUAAACGAUGAGUACUAGCUGUUGGAUUCGGUGUAAAGGAUCUAGUGGCGCAGCUAACGCGUUAAGUACUCCGCCUGGGGACUACGGCCGCAAGGCUAAAACUCAAAGGAAUUGACGGGGACCCGCACAAGCGGUGGAGCAUGUGGUUUAAUUCGAUGCAACGCGAAGAACCUUACCUGGUCUUGACAUCCUGCGAACUUUCUAGAGAUAGAUUGGUGCCUUCGGGAACGCAGUGACAGGUGCUGCACGGCUGUCGUCAGCUCGUGUUGUGAAAUGUUGGGUUAAGUCCCGCAACGAGCGCAACCCCUAUUGAUAGUUACCAUCAUUAAGUUGGGUACUCUAUUGAGACUGCCGCUGACAAGGCGGAGGAAGGUGGGGACGACGUCAAGUCAUCAUGGCCCUUACGACCAGGGCUACACACGUGCUACAAUGGGUAUUACAGAGGGCUGCGAAGGUGCGAGCUGGAGCGAAACUCAGAAAGGUACUCUUAGUCCGGAUUGCAGUCUGCAACUCGACUGCAUGAAGUCGGAAUCGCUAGUAAUCGCAGGUCAGAAUACUGCGGUGAAUACGUUCCCGGGUCUUGUACACACCGCCCGUCACACCAUGGGAGUGGGUUGCUCCAGAAGUAGAUAGCUUAACGAA